GUUGCGCGUGCUAUACUGCAAGUCGAACGCACAGCGAAUUGGCUUGCCCUUUCAGUAGCGUUAAGACCGAGUACACUCGGACACCUGCCUCAGGCUGGUUUAAUCGGGGAAAAGAUUACCUACCGAGUUGGCUUAGUUUCGCCGUCCACAACUGGAAGACGCUUCGGCGUCACCUAAAGUCCUAUCCGCGGUGCAUUACUUAUUCGGUGGGGUAAAGCCCUACCAAGGCAAUGAUGCAUAACCCAGUUGAGCGCCAUCUCGGUCACAUUGGGACUGGAACACUGCCUACUCUCCUACCGGGGACGGCAUUGGGGCGUCUUCCACAAUGGGUGAGGGCCAUCAGGCUCAACACCCCGUUAUUGAUGAAGGCUUUCGGGUCGCUUUACACCGCUGAAUGGCAAAAGCACCUAGAAUACGUAAUGAUUUUAGUUUGACGGUACCAUACCAGAAAGGGACGGCUAAAUACGUGCCAGCAGCCGCUUAAAUUCUGUGUCCCAAGCGUUAUCCGGAUUUAUUGGGCGUAAAGCGCGCGUUAAUCGUUUAUUAAGUCUGAUGUGAAAACCCGGAGCUCAACUCCGGAAUGGCAUUGAAAACUGGGUAACUUGAGUGCAGCCAAGGUAAGUGAAUCG
RNAcentral lists this ribosomal RNA (629 nucleotides) under Leuconostoc mesenteroides. RNAcentral describes it as "bacterial SSU rRNA". It matches the Rfam family "Bacterial small subunit ribosomal RNA", at positions 41 to 668 of the family's 1533-position model. The record is from RNAcentral. Lineage: Bacteria; Bacillati; Bacillota; Bacilli; Lactobacillales; Lactobacillaceae.